ACCACAAGGCAAAACAGAGCUUCACACCUGACAACUAGAACAUGACACAAGCAGCUUAAAAUAAAAAAAACAAACCAGCAGUAGAAAGUCACAUCGCCCCUAAGGAUUCGAUUUUAGCCCUCAUGGCAGCAGCAGCAAGCAGUAAUAUUAACACCAGGACAACACCAGAACGCUCACAGGAGGACAAGACCAGACCAAAAAGAUCUCCUGGGUAGGCUAUCUUUUACUAAAUCAGUAAGCCACAGUGGGUGCAGAACACAGGGGAUGCAGGAGAGAUUCCUUCAGGAUCCAGGACCGGUGUGACAAAAGCCGCUGACAAAUGACAUGACCCCAA
Molecule: long non-coding RNA, 334 nt
Filed under: Cyanistes caeruleus (blue tit)
Lineage: Eukaryota; Metazoa; Chordata; Aves; Passeriformes; Paridae
Description: lncRNA (ENSCCEG00000006621.1)
Source: RNAcentral